GAAGCCACUUCGGUGGCAGGAAGACAGGUGGUGCAUGGUUGUCGUCAGCUCGUGUCGUGAGAUGUUGGGUUAAGUCCCGCAACGAGCGCAACCCUUAUUGUUAGUUGCUACCAUUUAGUUGAGCACUCUAGCGAGACUGCCCGGGUUAACCGGGAGGAAGGUGGGGAUGACGUCAAAUCAUCAUGCCCCUUAUGUCUAGGGCUACACACGUGCUACAAUGGUCGGUACAAUGAGAUGCAACCUCGCGAGAGUGAGCAAAACUAUAAAACCGAUCUCAGUUCGGAUUGUAGGCUGAAACUCGCCUACAUGAAGCUGGAGUUGCUAGUAAUCGCGAAUCAGAAUGUCGCGGUGAAUACGUUCCCGGGCCUUGUACACACCGCCCGUCACACCAUGAGAGUUGGCAAUACCCAAAGUUCGUGAGCUAACGCGUAAGCGAGGCAGCGACCUAAGGUAGGGUCAGCGAUUGGGGUGAAGUCGUAACAAGGUAGCCGUAGGAGAACCUGC
RNAcentral lists this ribosomal RNA (504 nucleotides) under uncultured bacterium. RNAcentral describes it as "bacterial SSU rRNA". It matches the Rfam family "Bacterial small subunit ribosomal RNA", at positions 1011 to 1515 of the family's 1533-position model. The record is from RNAcentral.